This 301-nucleotide ribosomal RNA is filed under the name uncultured bacterium. Its description in RNAcentral is "partial 16S ribosomal RNA". It matches the Rfam family "Bacterial small subunit ribosomal RNA", at positions 509 to 809 of the family's 1533-position model. The record is from RNAcentral.
CAGUCGCCGCGGUAAUACGUAGGUGGCAAGCGUUGUCCGGAAUUAUUGGGCGUAAAGGGCUCGCAGGCGGUUUCUUAAGUCUGAUGUGAAAGCCCCCGGCUCAACCGGGGAGGGUCAUUGGAAACUGGGAAACUUGAGUGCAGAAGAGGAGAGUGGAAUUCCACGUGUAGCGGAGAAAUGCGUAGAGAUGUGGAGGAACACCAGUGGCGAAGGCGACUCUCUGGUCUGUAACUGACGCUGAGGAGCGAAAGCGUGGGGAGCGAACAGGAUUAGAUACCCCAGUAGUCCCUGUCUCUUAUAA